This 253-nucleotide ribosomal RNA is filed under the name uncultured bacterium. Its description in RNAcentral is "partial 16S ribosomal RNA". It matches the Rfam family "Bacterial small subunit ribosomal RNA", at positions 524 to 776 of the family's 1533-position model. The record is from RNAcentral.
UACGUAGGGAGCAAGCGUUGUCCGGAAUCAUUGGGCGUAAAGCGCGCGUAGGCGGCCCCGUAAGUCCGCUGUGAAAGUCAAAGGCUCAACCUUUGAAAGCCGGUGGAUACUGUGGGGCUAGAGUCCGGAAGAGGCGAGUGGAAUUCCUGGUGUAGCGGUGGAAUGCGCAGAUAUCAGGAGGAACACCAGUAGCGAAGGCAGCUCGCUGGGACGGUACUGACGCUAAGGCGCGAAAGCGUGGGGAGCGAACAGG